This is a long non-coding RNA of Eriocheir sinensis (Chinese mitten crab), 4502 nucleotides long. RefSeq lists it as uncharacterized. NCBI's taxonomy places the organism in Eukaryota, Metazoa, Arthropoda, Malacostraca, Decapoda, Varunidae. The record is from RefSeq and is a predicted model, not a curated record. The transcript is spliced from 2 exons.
UCUCUCUCUCUCUCUCUCUCUCUCUCUCUCUCUCUCUCUCUCUCUCUCUCAAGCUCCAAAAGUUCAGUUCAUGCAGCUUGUUAGUCUUGUUUUGUUGUAUUUUUCGUUUAUAGUCAUGACUUUUAUUUUGUCUUUUUUGGUUAGUCUGGUUUCGUGUUUUCCAUCUUUUUUUUCAUUUGAUUUUCCUUUAUUUUGCCUUUAGCUGUUAUUCUGGUUCCGGGUUUCCUCUAUUUUAGUUUAUAUUUUGUCUCGUUUUGUUUUGUUUUGUAUUUUUCUGUUGGCUGGAUUUCAUGUUUCCUCAUUUUGUCGGUUCCUUUUGUUUUCAUUUCUCUUUUCUGUCUGUCUGUCUGUCUGUCUGUCUGUUUCUCCGCCUUUACUAUCGAUCCGUCUGUCUGUCUGUGUUUCUCAUUAGUGGUCUGUUUUCCUUGCUCUCUUCAUUUUUAUCUUCUUUUUGCUAAGUUUUCUUAUUCUAUCAGUUUCUCUCAUCUCCCUUUCCCUCUUCUAAAUAUUUUCUUUCUUACUUUUUUCCUUGUUUUUUCCUCGACACCCUGAGGUAUUUAUUUUUUAUACACGUCUUUUUUUUACCUACUGUUUCAUUUUAUUCACUAUAUCUCUUUUUCCUCUCUUCAUCAUAGUCUUUUCUUUCUUACUUUUUUCUUUGUUUCUUCCUCGACUCCUUGACGUAUUUAUCCUUUAUAUACUUCUUCUUUUAAUCUACUGUUUAAUUUUCCUCUUUAUUUCUCUUUUUUCCUCUCUUCAUCAAAGUGAGUCAUUGUAUUUUUAUCUCUUUUCACUCCUUUUAAUAUGCUAGUUCUUGCUUCCUUCUUCCUUAUUAUUAUUAUUAUUAUUAUUAUUAUUAUUAUUAUUAUUAUUAUUAUUAUUAUUAUUAUUGUUAUCUCCUAUACCUUCUUUCUUGUUCUUGUUUUCUUCUGCUCUUAUCAAUAUUAUCCUCCUCUAUGUUCUCCAACUUCGACCUCCUCCUUUUUGUUCUUGCUCUUGUUCUUUUUAAUGUCCUCUUAAACUUCUUUUUCCUUUUCCUUUUCCUCCUCCUCCUCCUCCUCCUCCUCCUCCUCCUCCUCCUCCUCCUCCUCCUCCUUCCCUCAGGCCCGAACAUAAGCCUACUUGGUGUAAAAUCAUCCUGACGAAGGAAGCUAACGCCCCAAGCUUCCUCCUCCUCCUCCUCCUUCUUCACCCCUCCAUGUAACGCCCCUCCUCCAUUACGUUCUUCCUCUUCCUCCUCCUUCUCCUACUCCUAUUAUUAUUAUUAUUAUUAUUAUUAUUAUUAUUAUUAUUAUUAUUAUUAUUAUUAUUAUUAUUCCUCUUCCCCCUUCUCUUUCCCCUUAACUUAUUAUUCCCUUAGGCACUCCUCGCGCCCACCCUUCCCUCCUCCCCCUUCCCAUCCCUUCCCCCUCCAGCAGGUAAUCCCCCCCUGCCCCUUCUUUCCUUCCCUUCACCUGUCUCCCCGUCAACCGCAGGUAACCUAAUUAGUUCUCACGUUUCACCUUCCCGUCACUUACUUUCCCUUUUCUUCCUUGUCCUUCCCUUCCUGUUGCCCUAUUUCUUCUCCUAUUUCCCCUUUUUUAUUAAUUUGUACUUCUAUUUUCUCUCUUUUUUUUUAUUUCUCUCCUAUUCGCUUUUCUGUUUCCUUUUCUUUGUCUUUCUAAAUGUCUCUUGCUUUUCUUUUUCCUUUUUCCUUUCCCAUUUUUUAACUCAUUUUCUCGUUUCUCUUACUUUCCUGUACUUAUUUCCUCUAUCUUUUCCUACCUCUUCUUCUUUCUUUCCUUCUAUCAUAUCCUUUCCCUUUCCUUUUUCUUUUCUUUCGUUUAUCACUUUCGUAUUUUUUUCGUUCUUCUUCCUAUUUCUUCUCUCUCUGCAUUUUUUUUUCAUUUUUUGCUCUUCUACUCCAUUUUCUAUGUGUCUUUCUUUGUCUUUUAGCUUUUUCUCCUUUUCCCCUUCUUUUUUUUACUUUUUUCCUCUUCUCUUCCUUUUCCGUAUUUAUUUCCUAUCUUCUCUUCCUUCCCUCCUUCUGUCCUAUCCCUUUCCUUCUUCUUUCCUUCGUUUGUCUCUGUAAUUAUUUUCCCUCUCUCCUUUCCUAUCUCUUCUUCCUUCUCUCCUUCUAUCCUAUUCCUUUCCUUUCGUUUAUCUCUCUUCCGCUACCCUCUCCCUACUCUCUCUUUCCUAUUCCAUUCCCUCUCCCUACCCUACAUUUCUAUUCCAUUCUCUCACCAUCUCUCUCUCCUCUCCUUUCUCCCUCUCCCUCUACCCUUUGCCCGUCUCCCAUACCUCUUCUCUCCCGUUCCCUUUAAACUCCUCACACCCACACCCACCCACACACACUCUCCCUCUCUCUCUCCCUCUUCCUCUUUCCCUCUGGUCAUCCCCAUCUCAGUAAAAGAGUCACAAAGUUCACCCAAACAAACACACUACAGUAACUAACAACCUUAUCUCACCCACGCACAACAGCACUGGCAACGAACAACACCUCCAGGCUCAACGAAGCACAGCGGCAACAUAACAGUAACACAAGAACAACAACAUCCUGUCUCAGCGAAGGAGAUUAGGAGCAAGUUCAAUAGCAUUUCUCUCUCUCUCUAUCUCUCGUCGUGUGGGGGUGAGGGAGGGAACACGUGAUAAAGGAAACGAAAGGGGAUAAGGACAGGAAAAGUGAGGGAGGAGAGGAAAGAAAGCAGAAGGAAGAAAAAGGGCAUUCGUUCUUAUUCCUCUUUUUCCUCUCUCUGCAUUUCCUCUUUUUUUUCUCUCUCUCUUCUAUUCACGUUUGUUUGUGUGGAGGGAGGAAAGGGAAGGGAUAGAGAGAAGGAGAGGUAAAGGUGCGGGGAAUGGAAGGGAAUGUUGUAGAAAGAAAGAGAGAGAGAGAGAGAGAGAGAGAGAGAGAGAGAGAGAGAGAGAGAGAGAGAGAGAGAGAGAGAGAGAGAGAGAGAGAGAGAGAGAGAGAGAGAAAGCGAGGAAAAAGAGGGGUAUAAAAAGUGUGAUGUGAUAGGAGAAUUGCGUGGGUAGCUAAGAACAUCCUGCCCAGCUGCCCGGUCUGGUGAUGUAAUUGUAAUAGCCUGAGGCGCUGAGAGAGUAAGAUAUUGAAGUGAGAAUACUGUAAAAUGAAAAACAAUUAUAAUGAUAGUUAAGGGGAAAAGAAGGAUAGUGAAGUGAGAAUCCUGUAGAAAGGAAAGCAAUUAGAAUGAUAGUUGAGGGGAAAGGAAGGAAGAUGGGGUAGAGGUGGAGCAAGGAGAAGAUGGUGAGAGAAAGUCUAGUGAUGUAACAGUAGCUGGAGGUGGCGAGAGAGAUGGUUGGUGAAGUGAGAAUGUUGUAGGUUAGGUUAGGUUAGGUUAGGUUAGGUUAAUUAGAAUGAUAGAUAAAGGGUGUGGCAGGAGGAUAGGGUUAAGGGGGAAUAGAGGAGAAAGAUAGUUAGAGGGAAAAAGCCUGGCCUGGUGAUGAGACAGUUAAAGAAUCAUAGUGAAGAGAAAAUACUGAAAAAGGAAAGCAAUUAGGAUGACAUUUAAAGGGAACAGGACGAGGAGGAGGUGGUGAAGAUGGGACAGAGGUGAAAGAUGUUAAGAAAGGUAUGGUAAAGUAAGAAUACUGGUGAAGGGAAGUGAAUAGAAUGAGAGAGUUAAGGGGGAAUAUUGAAAAAGGAAAGCAAGUAGAAUGACAUUUAAAGGGAACGGGACGAGGAGGAGGUGGUGAGGAUGGGACAGAGGUGAAAGAUGUUAAUAAAGGUAUGGUAGAGUGAAGAUACUGGUGAAGGGAAGUGAAUAGAAUGAGAGAGUUAAGGGGGAAUAUUGAAAAAGGAAAGCAAGUAGAAUGACAGUUAAAGGGAACGGGACGAGGAGGAGGUGGUGAAGAUGGGACAGAGGUGAAAGAUGUUAAUAAAGGUAUGGUAGAGUGAAGAUACUGGUGAAGGGAAGUGAAUAGAAUGAGAGAGUUAAGGAGGAAUACUGAAAAAGGAAAGCAAGUAGAAUGACAGUUAAAGGGAACGGGACGAGGAGGAGGUGGUGAAGAUGGGACAGAGGUGAAAGAUGUUAAGAAAGGGUAUGGUAAAGUGAAAAUACUAGUGAAAAGAAGUGAAUAGAAUUUGAGUUAAAGGGGACGGAAGGAUAUAUAGUGGUAAACAUAGGUGAGAGGAGAAAGAAGAUUAGAGGGAAAGUAAGUAAGGUGUGGAGGGGAGGAACAGAGAAGGGAAAGGAAAAGAAAUGAAGAAGGGAAGGUUAAAUGAUAAUGACAAGUAAUGAGAUUGAAAACUAAUUAGAAGCGGCAAAAGGAAGGUAAGGGAGGGAAAGGAAAAGAGGGAAAGGAAACGUGAGGGAGAAAGGGAAAAUGAGGUAAACAGUAAUAAUAAGAAUACUGUGAGAAUGAGAAUUAAUUAAACAGUUGCAGGAAAAGUAAGGUGAGGAGGGGGAAGGAAAAGAGGGAAAGUAAAAGAGAGGAAAAGGGAAAGGAAAAGUAAAUAAUAAUAAAGAGUAAUGAGAGAAUAAAAAAUAACAAGAAAAUAA